RNAcentral lists this ribosomal RNA (253 nucleotides) under uncultured bacterium. RNAcentral's name for it is "partial 16S ribosomal RNA". It matches the Rfam family "Bacterial small subunit ribosomal RNA", at positions 524 to 776 of the family's 1533-position model. The record is from RNAcentral.
UACGAAGGGGGCUAGCGUUGCUCGGAAUUACUGGGCGUAAAGCGCACGUAGGCGGUCUUUUAAGUCGGGGGUGAAAUCCUGGAGCUCAACUCCAGAACUGCCUUUGAUACUGAAGAUCUUGAGUUCGGGAGAGGUGAGUGGAACUGCGAGUGUAGAGGUGAAAUUCGUAGAUAUUCGCAAGAACACCAGUGGCGAAGGCGGCUCACUGGCCCGAUACUGACGCUGAGGCACGAAAGCGUGGGGAGCAAACAGG